RNAcentral lists this ribosomal RNA (490 nucleotides) under uncultured bacterium. RNAcentral's name for it is "partial 16S ribosomal RNA". It matches the Rfam family "Bacterial small subunit ribosomal RNA", at positions 30 to 507 of the family's 1533-position model. The record is from RNAcentral.
AUUGAACGCUGGCGGCAUGCUUUACACAUGCAAGUCGGACGGCAGCGGGGUAGUGCUUGCACUACUGCCGGCGAGUGGCGAACGGGUGAGUAAUAUAUUGGAACGUACCGAGUAAUGGGGGAUAACCAAUCGAAAGAUUGGCUAAUACCGCAUACGCUCUGAGGAGGAAAGCAGGGGACCUUCGGGCCUUGCGUUAUUCGAGCGGCCAAUAUCUGAUUGGCUAGUUGGUGGGGUAAGGGCCUACCAAGGCGACGAUCAGUAGCGGGUCUGAGAGGAUGAUCCGCCACACUGGGACUGAGACACGGCCCAGACUCCUACGGGAGGCAGCAGUGGGGAAUUUUGGACAAUGGGCGCAAGCCUGAUCCAGCCAUGCCGCGUGUCUGAAGAAGGCCUUCGGGUUGUAAAGGACUUUUGUUAGGGAAGAAAAAGGAGCGGUUAAUACCCGUUUCUGCUGACGGUACCUAAAGAAUAAGCACCGGCUAACUACGUG